Molecule: long non-coding RNA, 298 nt
Filed under: Elaeis guineensis (African oil palm)
Lineage: Eukaryota; Viridiplantae; Streptophyta; Magnoliopsida; Arecales; Arecaceae
Description: long non-coding RNA (EGUI_LNC039402)
Source: RNAcentral
UUCUGCUGUGACUGAUUGGUAUCGAAAAGAUCUUAUGGUGGUGGUGUCCUGGCCAGACAUCUCCAAUAAUUAGUAUUAAGCGAGGCAGUACCAGUGUGAGGUUGCAGCAGUAAUGAGUAAGAUUGAAAAUGGAAAAGAUAGGUGCAAUCAAAGUGGAGAUCGACUGUAGAGGAUUGAUCGAUACCCUCUUGUGCAAGGGGGAGUAGUUUACAUGGAGGAUGCCAGUGGAAGCUCAGUGUGAGGUGGAGCUUCAAAUGAAGAUGGAUCGGGCAUGGGACCAGAGACUCGAGAGGAUGAG